RNAcentral lists this ribosomal RNA (545 nucleotides) under uncultured bacterium. Its description in RNAcentral is "bacterial SSU rRNA". It matches the Rfam family "Bacterial small subunit ribosomal RNA", at positions 356 to 896 of the family's 1533-position model. The record is from RNAcentral.
GGGGAAUAUUGCGCAAUGGGGGCAACCCUGACGCAGCCAUGCCGCGUGAAUGAAGAAGGCCUUCGGGUUGUAAAGUUCUUUCGGUAGCGAGGAAGGCAUUUAGUUUAAUAGACUAGGUGAUUGACGUUAACUACAGAAGAAGCACCGGCUAACUCCGUGCCAGCAGCCGCGGUAAUACGGAGGGUGCGAGCGUUAAUCGGAAUAACUGGGCGUAAGGGCACGCAGGCGGUGACUUAAGUGAGGUGUGAAAGCCCCGGGCUUAACCUGGGAAUUGCAUUUCAUACUGGGUCGCUAGAGUACUUUAGGGAGGGGUAGAAUUCCACGUGUAGCGGUGAAAUGCGUAGAGAUGUGGAGGAAUACCGAAGGCGAAGGCAGCCCCUUGGGAAUGUACUGACGCUCAUGUGCGAAAGCGUGGGGAGCAAACAGGAUUAGAUACCCUGGUAGUCCACGCUGUAAACGAUGUCGAUUUGGGGGUUGAACUUUGAGUUUGGCGCCCGUAGCUAACGUGAUAAAUCGACCGCCUGGGGAGUACGGCCGCAAGGUUA